UGAGGAAUAUUGGUCAAUGGACGCAAGUCUGAACCAGCCAAGUAGCGUGCAGGAUGACGGCCCUAUGGGUUGUGAACUGCUUUUAUAUGGGGAUAAAGUGGGGAACGUGUUCCCUUUUGCAGGUACCAUAUGAAUAAGGACCGGCUAAUUCCGUGCCAGCAGCCGCGGUAAUACGGAAGGUUCGGGCGUUAUCCGGAUUUAUUGGGUUUAAAGGGAGCGUAGGCCGUUUGGUAAGCGUGUUGUGAAAUGUAGGAGCUCAACUUCUAGAUUGCAGCGCGAACUGUCAGACUUGAGUGCGCACAACGUAGGCGGAAUUCAUGGUGUAGCGGUGAAAUGCUUAGAUAUCAUGAAGAACUCCGAUUGCGAAGGCAGCUUACGGGAGCGCAACUGACGCUGAAGCUCGAAGGUGCGGGUAUCGAACAGG
Molecule: ribosomal RNA, 424 nt
Filed under: Verrucomicrobiota bacterium
Lineage: Bacteria; Pseudomonadati; Verrucomicrobiota
Description: Verrucomicrobia bacterium partial 16S ribosomal RNA
Rfam family: Bacterial small subunit ribosomal RNA
Source: RNAcentral